RNAcentral lists this ribosomal RNA (494 nucleotides) under uncultured bacterium. Its description in RNAcentral is "partial 16S ribosomal RNA". It matches the Rfam family "Bacterial small subunit ribosomal RNA", at positions 28 to 507 of the family's 1533-position model. The record is from RNAcentral.
GACGAACGCUGGCGGCGCGCUUAACACAUGCAAGUCGAACGGAAAGGCCUGCUUUCCCUUGUGGAUUGCGGGUACUCGAGUGGCGAACGGGUGAGUAACACGUGAGUGAUCUGCCCCCAACUUGGGUAUAAGCCUGGGAAACUGGGUCUAAUUCCCGAUAGGACUGCAGGGUGGUGCCUGUGGUGGAAAACAAUUUUCUAGUGGUUGGGGAUGAGCUCGCGGCCUAUCAGCUUGUUGGUGGGGUAAUGGCCUACCAAGGCGGCGACGGGUAGCCGGCCUGAGAGGGUGGACGGCCACAUUGGGACUGAGAUACGGCCCAGACUCCUACGGGAAGCAGCAGUGGGGAAUAUUGCACAAUGGGCGGAAGCCUGAUGCAGCGACGCCGCGUGGGGGAUGACGGCCUUCGGGUUGUAAACUCCUUUCGACCGCGAGGAAGCCACCUGGUUGGAAGGGUGGUGACGGUAGUGGUAGAAGAAGCACCGGCUAACUACGUG